GGGCGAUGGGGCAUCUCUACGAUUUGCUUCUAGCGGUGCUGGACAGGGUGCUCUCAAGAUCAGUGGCGAACGGAAGAGUAACACGUGAGUAACCUGCCCCUGACUCUGGGAUAAGCGUUGGAAACGACGUCUAAUACCGGAUAUUUCCUUCGAAGGCAUCUUCGUUGGUGGAAAGAAUUUCGGUUGGGGAUGGACUCGCGGCCUAUCAGCUUGUUGGUGAGGUAAUGGCUCACCAAGGCGACGACGGGUAGCCGGCCUGAGAGGGUGACCGGCCACACUGGGACUGAGACACGGCCCAGACUCCUACGGGAGGCAGCAGUGGGGAAUAUUGCACAAUGGGCGCAAGCCUGAUGCAGCAACGCCGCGUGAGGGACGACGGCCUUCGGGUUGUAAACCUCUUUUGGCAGGGAAGAAGCGAAAGUGACGGUACCUGCAGAAAAAGCACCGGCUAACUACGUGCCAGCAGCCGCGGUAAUACGUAGGGUGCAAGCGUUGUCCGGAAUUAUUGGGCGUAAAGAGCUCGUAGGCGGUUUGUCGCGUCUGCUGUGAAAACGCGAGGCUCAACCUCGCGCCUGCAGUGGGUACGGGCAGACUAGAGUGUGGUAGGGGAGAUUGGAAUUCCUGGUGUAGCGGUGGAAUGCGCAGAUAUC
RNAcentral lists this ribosomal RNA (650 nucleotides) under bacterium. RNAcentral's name for it is "bacterial SSU rRNA". It matches the Rfam family "Bacterial small subunit ribosomal RNA", at positions 31 to 698 of the family's 1533-position model. The record is from RNAcentral.